RNAcentral lists this ribosomal RNA (638 nucleotides) under Nebria kincaidi balli. RNAcentral describes it as "partial large subunit ribosomal RNA". The stretch from base 390 to 549 matches the Rfam family "Bacterial large subunit ribosomal RNA", at positions 2473 to 2632 of the family's 2925-position model. Lineage: Eukaryota; Metazoa; Arthropoda; Insecta; Coleoptera; Carabidae. The record is from RNAcentral.
GUCCUUUAGAUAUUAAUUUAAGGUCUAACCUGCCCACUGAAUUAUUUUUAAAUGGCCGCAGUAAUUUGACUGUGCAAAGGUAGCAUAAUCAUUAGUUUUUUAAUUAAAAGCUUGUAUGAAAGGUUGGACGAAGUAAAAUCUGUCUCUAAUUAAAUUAAUUUAGAAUUUAACUUUUAAGUUAAAAGGCUUAAAUUUAACUAAAAGACGAGAAGACCCUAUAGAUCUUUAUAUUUUUAUUAUUAAAUUUAAUUAUGAAUUUUUUAAAUUUUAUUGAUAAAAUUAUUUUAUUGGGGUAAUAUAAAGAUUAAAAUAAUUCUUUUUUUUAAUUUACAUUAAUUUAUGAUUUUUAUGAUCCAAUUUUAUUGAUUAAAAGAUUAAGUUACCUUAGGGAUAACAGCGUAAUUUUUUUAGAGAGUUCUUAUCGAUAAAAAAGUUUGCGACCUCGAUGUUGGAUUAAAGAUUAUUUUAGGUGUAGAAGUUUAAAAAUUUUGGUCUGUUCGACCAUUAAAUCUUUACAUGAUCUGAGUUCAGACCGGUGUAAGCCAGGUCGGUUUCUAUCUUUAGUAAAUUAAAAUAUUUUAGUACGAAAGGACCAAUUAUUUAAUAUAUUAAUAUUUAUAAAUUUUGAUUAUUAUUAA